This 229-nucleotide ribosomal RNA is filed under the name uncultured bacterium. Its description in RNAcentral is "partial 16S ribosomal RNA". It matches the Rfam family "Bacterial small subunit ribosomal RNA", at positions 568 to 796 of the family's 1533-position model. The record is from RNAcentral.
CGCGUAGGCGGUCUUGUCGGUCAGAUGUGAAAGCCCGGGGCUCAACCCUGGAAGUGCAUUUGAAACAGCAAGACUUGAGUACGGGAGAGGAGAGCGGAAUUCCUGGUGUAGAGGUGAAAUUCGUAGAUAUCAGGAGGAACACCGAUGGCGAAGGCAGCUCUCUGGACCGAUACUGACGCUGAGGCGCGAAGGCGUGGGUAGCGAACAGGAUUAGAUACCCUGGUAGUCC